AAGGGCAAAACCUUACUCUGUAGACAGUAAUGGUAAAAUCAAUGCAUUUGUUGGGACUGUACUACAAAACAUGUGAAAAGGAGUUCCAAUGCAAUGCAACAUCCAAACGAUAGCAUCUAACAACCUAAUAGUACAUAACUAGAAACACAUCGCUCACAACAUAUACAAAACUAAUAUGGAAUCCAGCUGGUCCUUGAUCAAGGCUUUGGGCCAAUAGUAUACCAUAUAUCACAAG
RNAcentral lists this long non-coding RNA (235 nucleotides) under Solanum tuberosum (potato). Its description in RNAcentral is "long non-coding RNA (STUB_LNC004739)". Lineage: Eukaryota; Viridiplantae; Streptophyta; Magnoliopsida; Solanales; Solanaceae. The record is from RNAcentral.